CAAACCAUUGCAAACUCCGAAUACCGAGACGGACUGUAUGGGAGACACACGGCGGGUGCUAACGUCCGUCGUGAAAAGGGAAACAACCCAGACCCACAGCUAAGGUCCCAAAUUUUGUGCUAAGUGGAAAACCAUGUGGAAAGGCACAGACAGCCAGGAGGUUGGCUUAGAAGCAGCCACCCUUUAAAGAAAGCGUAAUAGCUCACUGGUCGAGUCGGUCUGCGGGGAAGAUUUAACGGGGCUAAGCACAGAACCGAAGCUUGGGGUGCACAACUUUGUUGUGCGCGGUAGAGGAGCGUUCCGUAAGCCUGCGAAGGUGGAUUGAGAAGUCCGCUGGAGGUAUCGGAAGUGCGAAUGCUGACAUGAGUAACGAUAAUGCGGGUGAAAAGCCCGCACGCCGAAAGCCCAAGGUUUCCUUGCGCAACGUUAAUCGACGCAGGGUUAGUC
Molecule: ribosomal RNA, 447 nt
Filed under: Kosakonia sp. H7A
Lineage: Bacteria; Pseudomonadati; Pseudomonadota; Gammaproteobacteria; Enterobacterales; Enterobacteriaceae
Description: bacterial LSU rRNA
Rfam family: Bacterial large subunit ribosomal RNA
Source: RNAcentral